CGGUAAUACGGAGGGUCCAAGCGUUAUCCGGAUUUAUUGGGUUUAAAGGGUCCGUAGGCGGGAAAAUAAGUCAGUGGUGAAAGCCUGCAGCUCAACUGCAGAACUGCCAUUGAAACUGUUUUUCUUGAAUAUAGAUGAAGUGGGCGGAAUAUAUCAUGUAGCGGUGAAAUGCAUAGAUAUGAUAUAGAACACCGAUUGCGAAGGCAGCUCACUAAACUAUUAUUGACGCUGAGGGACGAAAGUGUGGGGAGCGAACAGGAUUAGAUACCCUGGUAGUCCACACCGUAAACGAUGAUUACUCGGUGCUAGCGAUAUACUGUUAGUGCCUAAGCGAAAGCGAUAAGUAAUCCACCUGGGGAGUACGGUCGCAAGAUUGAAACUCAAAGGAAUUGACGGGGGCCCGCACAAGCGGUGGAGCAUGUGGUUUAAUUCGAUGAUACGCGAGGAACCUUACCUGGGCUUAAAUGUAUUUUGACAGACUGGGAAACCAGUCCUUCUUCGGACAAUUUACAAGGUGCUGCAUGGUUGUCGUCAGCUCGUGCUGUGAGGUGUCGGGUUAAGUCCCAUAACGAGCGCAACCCCUAUCCUUAGUUGCCAGCGAGUAAUGUCGGGGACUCUAAGGAAGCUGCCGGUGCAAACCGUGAGGAAGGUGGGGAUGACGUCAAAUCAUCACGGCCCUUACGUCCAGGGCUACACACGUGCUACAAUGGCGGAUACAAAGGGCAGCUGCUUGGUGACAAGAUGCUAAUCUCGAAAGUCCGUCUCAGUUCGGAUCGAAGUCUGCAACUCGACUUCGUGAAGCUGGAAUCGCUAGUAAUCGCGUAUCAGCAAUGACGCGGUGAAUACGUUCCCGGG
This 855-nucleotide ribosomal RNA is filed under the name uncultured bacterium. RNAcentral describes it as "bacterial SSU rRNA". It matches the Rfam family "Bacterial small subunit ribosomal RNA", at positions 518 to 1378 of the family's 1533-position model. The record is from RNAcentral.